UACGUAGGUGGCAAGCGUUGUCCGGAUUUACUGGGCGUAAAGAGCGCGCAGGCGGUCGUUCAAGUCGCGUGUGAAAGCCCCCGGCUCAACUGGGGAGGGUCACGCGAUACUGCUCGACUUGAAGGCAGGAGAGGGAAGUGGAAUUCCCGGUGUAGUGGUGAAAUGCGUAGAUAUCGGGAGGAACACCAGUGGCGAAGGCGACUUCCUGGCCUGUUCUUGACGCUGAGGCGCGAAGGCUAGGGUAGCAAACGGG
RNAcentral lists this ribosomal RNA (253 nucleotides) under uncultured bacterium. Its description in RNAcentral is "partial 16S ribosomal RNA". It matches the Rfam family "Bacterial small subunit ribosomal RNA", at positions 524 to 776 of the family's 1533-position model. The record is from RNAcentral.